This 972-nucleotide long non-coding RNA is filed under the name Selaginella moellendorffii. RNAcentral describes it as "long non-coding RNA (SMOE_LNC000956)". The record is from RNAcentral. Lineage: Eukaryota; Viridiplantae; Streptophyta; Lycopodiopsida; Selaginellales; Selaginellaceae.
CCCCUCCACCGCCGGUCUACAAAUAUAAGUCGCCACCACCUCCUGUGUACCACGCCCCGGCUCCUGUUUACAAGUACAAGUCACCUCCUCCCCCCGUCUACCACUACAGCUCGCCACCACCGCCGGUUUACAAGUACAAGUCACCACCACCACCUGUGUACCACGCCCCGGCACCAGUUUACAAGUACAACUCGCCACCACCCCCAGUUUACAAGUACAGCUCGCCACCACCACCUGUUUACAAAUACAAGUCGCCACCACCACCUGUGUACCACACCCCGGCUCCUGUUUACAAGUACGAGUCGCCUCCUCCGCCGGUGUACAAGUACAGCUCCCCGCCGCCACCGGUCUACAAAUAUAAGUCGCCACCACCACCUGUGUACCACGUCCCAGCGCCGGUUUACAAGUACGAAUCUCCUCCGCCACCGGUGUACAAGUACAGCUCUCCGCCACCACCAGUCUACAAGUAUAAGUCGCCACCACCACCUGUGUACCACGCCCCUGCUCCAGUCUACAAGUACAAAUCUCCUCCGCCACCGGUGUACAAGUACAGCUCGCCACCACCACCGGUUUACAAAUACAAGUCGCCUCCUCCACCUGUUUACCACGCCCCGGCUCCAGUCUACAAGUACAAAUCCCCGCCACCACCGGUGUAUCACUACAGCUCCCCGCCACCACCUGUUUACAAGUAUAAGUCUCCACCGCCGCCUGUUUACCACGCUCCCGCCCCAGUCUACAAGUAUAAGUCACCGCCGCCACCUGUUUACCACUACAGCUCCCCACCACCCCCGGUUUACAAGUACAAAUCUCCUCCUCCCCCUGUCUACCACGCUCCAGCACCGGUUUACAAGUAUAAGUCUCCGCCGCCACCGGUCUAUCACUACAGCUCCCCGCCACCACCGGUGUACAAGUACAAGUCGCCACCACCGCCUGUGUACCACGCUCCAGCACCGGUUUACAAGUAUAAGUCGC